GGGUCAUAAUGAGGAAGGACGAGUUAUGGAGACAUAGAGUUAUAGUCAGUUGAAACUGUAAAAAAAAAAAUAGUCUAUUUGUUACCAAAAAGUGUGAAGUAAUAAAAAGACAUACACAAUAUAUAGAGAGACUAAGCAAGUAGUAAAAGGAGAAGAAAAUAUCUGCUUGGAGAGCAACUGGACAAUGUGAAUGUUGGAGUCCUCUAGUGCAUAUACUUGAAUGCCAGCUACUACGGUUCCCACUGCUAUCCUGGAGCCACUGCCAGUUCACAUGAUACUCAACAAUGACUAAAGCAGGAAAUUCUGGAAGACUCAGGGAGCCACUGCCAUCUGACAGAGUCUUCCCAACUGCACUACAUACAAGUCAGCAAGAAGAAGCCAGGAUUAUCUGAGCUUCCUUUUAAGAUUAUUUCAGGCAUGAGAAACCAACAUAGUCGACACAACUAACUCCAGAAGACUACAUGCUCCUAUAAACAGAUGUGUAAUGACAGCACACUCAACAUGGAUAAAUACACUUCAGAAUUGGUUUGUAAGGUCCACCAUCUGUCUGGUUUGUCCACUCUGAACUUAUGAAUCUUGAUUACAAUUGUCAUUUGGGGUCCACCCAGUUUACACAUCUAUCUCAAACGAUACCUGAAGGAGCUCUUUAGUCUUCUAGUUCCCUAGUUGUGCAUGACUAAAGCUAUAGUGUUUACUAAACUCUUCUUGAAGCUGAAUGUCUAAGACUAUGCAGUGGUUUCUUUUUAAUGUUAAACACUAUGAAAAUCCAAGAUUGAUGGCAACAUUGUGUGAUAAUAGUAGAAGAGAUGUGCAAAAGAUAGACGUAAAGGAAGAAGACAAUAUGGUAAUCCACUGAAAUUCUAUUGCUUGUAUAUUCAUAGCACUUCUUUCCUCCCCAUGGAAGUGGGAAGCAGGGUCAUAAUAAUUAACUAUGUUAUACUUCAUUAUUAACACUCUCUUAAGGCAUUAAAAAAAACUGGCAAUAUUAUGUUUUCCUUAUUUUAAACAAUUAUGUUAAAGGGUUAAUCAACAUUUCCUGUGAAAAGAACAAUGAUGUUUAGCCAAAUGCUUUUUAAAAAGCAGACAACAAGAAAUAGCUUCAAUAAUUCAUAUUAAUUCAAGUCCUAUGGUUAAUGAGGCAAAUGGAGUGCUCUCAGAGGGGAUAAAAGCACAUAGCAGCAGCAUCAAGAAUCUUCAAACCACUGCUGGCAAAGGAUACUGUAAGUCCAAAAUACCCCCUAACCACCUACUAUUCAUACUUUACACUCGGGAUAAACUUAAUAUCAUUCUAGUUUUGCAGAUGGUAAGCUAAAACAGUGCCUAUACAAUUAGAACACAGGCAAGCAACUGCUUAUACUCUUCUUCGUUUUUAUGGUUCUUAGCCAUCAUGAUGCCAUCCAAGUUGUCUGAAGUUUUCACUACAUUAAACAUACACUCAUUUGAUCAGGCACAAAAAAGAGUGAGACUGUGACCAUCUCUGCACAGUCCAGCAAUUAAACUGUUGUAAGGCUAAAAAUAUAUCAGAGUUGAAGAUCAGAUCAUGG
Macaca mulatta (Rhesus monkey) is the source of this 1544-nucleotide non-coding RNA. The record is from RefSeq and is a predicted model, not a curated record. NCBI's taxonomy places the organism in Eukaryota, Metazoa, Chordata, Mammalia, Primates, Cercopithecidae.